RNAcentral lists this ribosomal RNA (427 nucleotides) under uncultured Rhodanobacter sp. RNAcentral's name for it is "bacterial SSU rRNA". It matches the Rfam family "Bacterial small subunit ribosomal RNA", at positions 355 to 774 of the family's 1533-position model. Lineage: Bacteria; Pseudomonadati; Pseudomonadota; Gammaproteobacteria; Lysobacterales; Rhodanobacteraceae. The record is from RNAcentral.
UGGGGAAUAUUGGACAAUGGGGGCAACCCUGAUCCAGCAAUGCCGCGUGUGUGAAGAAGGCCUUCGGGUUGUAAAGCACUUUUAUCCGGAACGAAACGCGCAGGGUGAAUAUCCUUGCGAACUGACGGUACCGGAGGAAUAAGCACCGGCUAACUUCGUGCCAGCAGCCGCGGUAAUACGAAGGGUGCAAGCGUUACUCGGAAUUACUGGGCGUAAAGGGUGCGUAGGUGGUUGUUUAAGUCUGCUGUGAAAUCCCCGGGCUCAACCUGGGAAUGGCAGUGGAUACUGGAUAGCUAGAGUGCGGUAGAGGGUAGUGGAAUUCCCGGUGUAGCAGUGAAAUGCGUAGAGAUCGGGAGGAACACCAGUGGCGAAGGCGGCUACCUGGACCAGCACUGACACUGAAGCACGAAAGCGUGGGGAGCAAACA